GUUCUGAUCCUGGUUUCUUGAAUCCAGUAUGUCCUCGGUCUACCAGGAUCAGAACUUGUACAGCAAGUAGCAAUUCUAUUUUUCGGGGGCCCUGAUGAUCGUGAGGCAUUGGCAUGUAGUAAAAGGAUUGCUAUGCAUCGUUACAUUAAGUUGACAUUGAUUCGUUUCCUAUCAUCAGUAUCAAAGGAACAACUUAACAAGUGGAGUAAUGAUGCUUCCAAUAAAGAUGAUGAAGUCCUGCUUGCAAUAUCAGAUCCUAAAGUUGACAAUGAGAUGGAUGAUGCAUCUGUUAAUGACUUCCUGAACAGGUAUGUAAAAUCUGGCAGAGCAACUUUUGCAGAGAAGUACGUGAACAACGGGGAGCAAACAGCGACAAUUUUAAGAGAGUUGGGAGAAAUGUAUUCAUUGAUCAUUGUAGGGAAGGGUAGGAGAGGGCACACACCAAUGUUAAUUGGUUUGACAGACUGGGAAGAGUGUCCAGAACUUGGAAUUGUUGGGGAUCUGUUAGCUUCUUCGGAAUUGAGUAUCAGUGGUUCAGUUUUAGUCAUUCAACAGCAUAGGAACCAUUUGAACAAAAACAAUGUUGAUGAAUUGUAGGAAAGUUGCAUAUUCAUAGGUGCUAGUUGAUCAUUGAAAAUGUAAUUGCCAAAUUAUAAUGGUUUGGUGGAAAUGAAUUUGGUCCAGGUAAAUUUAGAAUAUUAAUUGUUGCCAUAAUAAUUCCAAAUAUAUUUUCA
Molecule: unclassified non-coding RNA, 734 nt
Filed under: Hevea brasiliensis (rubber tree)
Lineage: Eukaryota; Viridiplantae; Streptophyta; Magnoliopsida; Malpighiales; Euphorbiaceae
Source: RNAcentral